UGAUCCAUAGUGUAACUGGCAGCACCCAAGACUCUGACUCUUGGAGUUCAGGUUCGAAUCCUGAUGGAUUAACAA
Molecule: transfer RNA, 75 nt
Filed under: Chryseobacterium indologenes
Lineage: Bacteria; Pseudomonadati; Bacteroidota; Flavobacteriia; Flavobacteriales; Weeksellaceae
Description: tRNA-Gln
Rfam family: tRNA
About the family: Transfer RNA (tRNA) molecules are approximately 80 nucleotides in length. Their secondary structure includes four short double-helical elements and three loops (D, anti-codon, and T loops).
Source: RNAcentral